CCUCGAGGAAAAUUCUUAAUUAAUGAGAAAGCGUAAUUUAACUAUGCAUGAAUCUGGUAUGCGUGAUCUAAUCUUUUGAGCGAUAAUCGGGAAUUCUACUAUUAAUCCUCGUUAAUAGAUUUAGCUAAUUCUCGUCUAGCGCGGUCGAAUAAAACUGUGAUUCUUCCUUCCUCAUCGGAAUAUUCUAGUCGUGAAAUAAACCUCGCAUUUGUACUUGAUUGAAAAAGGACUAACUCGGCUUUAAACGAGGUGUGACCUUGUAGAAAUUAUCGGGCUUUUCGAUAGAAGCAUCAUUACUAGCGUAACCUCAAAUAAUUAAUAGGCUCAAAAGAGAGUAGCCAAUUAAUUAAAUAAACCAGUGGCUUAAAUGAAAUAAACAAUAAUGGCUUGCUUUAAAGUCGGAAGUCCAAAAACAUUAAUUAAUAAACUGGGCGGCUCAUUACUGAUAAAUAAUUGGGCUCCAUCAAAAAUUGAUACUGCUAGGCUUAGCUCAAAGGAGUAACUUCAGCUCAAGCUUUAAAAGAAUUAAAGCCCAACUUAAAAAGUCUUCGACCCAAAACAAUUAAAAUAGGGGUCCAAAUAAUAAUUAAUGUGGACUGAAAAGAAUUAAUCUUAGCCCAGAAAGGCAAUUUAAUCGGCCAAAAUGAUGAAUUAAACUGGCCCAACGAAAUAUAAAUGGGACUAGAAUAAUAGCCCAUCAUAAAAUAUGCAUCAGCCCAAUUCCUUAAAUUAAUCGAGCCCAACUUAAAAUAAUUCGGCCCACAAUAAAUUAAAAGGGAAAGCCCAAUAUAUGCUAGCCCAUGUGAAAUUAAGGGAUAUGGUUCUGGGCCCAAAUUAAUGGGAUAACAAACAGCCCAUCUAAAAAAAAUACUCCAAAAUCGGCCCAAGCAAAGGAAAUAAACUUAAGCCCAAACAAUUUAAAAAAAACAAAAGGCCCAAAAGCUCUACUUCUCCUCCCCCUCUCGGUUAUCUCUCUCUCAACUCUCAAACCAGUCGCUCGUCCUCCUUCUUCUCUCUCUCGCUGAAAAUCCAAUCGAGCUCUCUCUCUCGAUUCACGGCUCCGACGAGGUUGCCGGCGUCGCCGCCGCCUAAGCCCGGCAAGAAAAAGAAAAAGGCAGCGGCUUGCCGCCGAGCCGUCGCCGGCCGUGAGCAGCCCCCGGCUGUUCUCACCCACUUCUAUUCCGGCGAGUAGCAGCGAAAGCCGCCGCCGAUCCCUGUGUUCACGGCUCAGCAGCCUCACAAUCUCAGCCCUCUCCUCGCCGAUCGACUGCAACGAAGGUCGCCACCUUCGACGGCCUCCUCCAACAACUCACACAUCCCGACUCACAACAACAGCGACAACAGCUUCAUCUCAACACUCACGCCCACACACAAUGCAUAGAUACUCCCUUUUCUUUUCUUUAACCAAUUUGUGAUAAUUCUAAAAUGUAGUAGAAAGAACAUUUUAUGGAACUCAUUUAUCAGAAAAAGAACAAGGUAUGCGUGCUGAUUUCUGUGACAUAAUAUGUGUGCGUAUCCUCUGUGAAUUGUGCAGUCCUAGUUAGUGUUGAUUAUGUACAUGAACAUGUCAUCGGUGAUGGUUUUCUUUAUAAAAUGAAUGACUGAUUUUGAGUGUAUGUGUGAGUUGGUUUACCUCUUAUGAAAAUAAGUUGAUUUCUCCAGGAGUGAGUUGCUGUAAAUUGAUGUUGGCUGCUGUGGUGUUUGAAUCAGUGGAUAGAAACUGAAAUAAAUCAUACUUGUUUCUUUCAAUAAAUACAGGUUGCAAAUGGAAGAAAGGUGGAAACAUUAAGGCAAGCUUACCUUGAGAACUUGACAGGAACAAGCUGGGAUUGUUCUUUGGUACUCUGUGAAUGAGCUGAGAGUGAGUAUUGCAUUAUUGCGUGUGGUGGGGAAGGAAAUAAGUGGAAAGUUUGGUGGAGAAAAAGGGUGGUGGCUGAUAGUUGAGUGUGGUGGGGAAGUUGGUGGAGUGGAGAAGUGGAGUGGAGAAGUGGGGAGCAAAGACGUGUACAUUAUUUACAAAAGAUUGAAAUAAUAAUUGUAUUUAAACUUUAAUUGAUUGAAGAGCUUUUGCUUUUGUAAUAUACUAAACGAUUUUCCCCAAGCUGGGAACUAGCCUGUAAUCUGUGAACUGUAAAUAAAUACUGGCUUCGAUUUUCAAUCAUCGCAUUUCUGUA
Molecule: long non-coding RNA, 2174 nt
Organism: Salvia miltiorrhiza (redroot sage)
Lineage: Eukaryota; Viridiplantae; Streptophyta; Magnoliopsida; Lamiales; Lamiaceae
Exons: 2
Source: RefSeq, a predicted model, not a curated record